RNAcentral lists this unclassified non-coding RNA (390 nucleotides) under fungal sp. RNAcentral describes it as "partial internal transcribed spacer region". The stretch from base 1 to 46 matches the Rfam family "Eukaryotic small subunit ribosomal RNA", at positions 1786 to 1831 of the family's 1831-position model. Lineage: Eukaryota; Fungi. The record is from RNAcentral.
AAGUCGUAACAAGGUUUCCGUAGGUGAACCUGCGGAAGGAUCAUUAACACGUGAUACCAUCACGUUUCAAACAUCCCGUCGAAUUUGUUUUAUGUCUCAUUCACACUUAGUUGGUAGAGAGGGAAGGGAAGAGCUGUAACAGGUUCUAACUCUCUAUCUCGAUUAGACGUCAUUGUUGAGAUCAAGACUAAGGGUGAAUGUUAAAUGAGUUCUAGUUGACAGGCCCUUCAUCCUUCAACUAGAACACCCUGUUUUACCUUAUACCGUUUUAAUCUGAUACUAGCGCAGUGCUCGUUAAUUCCUAGUGCAAUACACACUGGUUGAGUAAACUUGAGCUUGCGUUUUAUAUAAACUAAACAACAACUCUUAGCAACGGAUAUCUUGGUUCUC